CACGUAGUUAGCCGUGACUUAUUCAAGAGGUACCGUCUUCUGCUCUUCCCUCUUAAAAGAAGUUUACAACCCGAAAGCCUUCUUCCUUCACGCGGCGUUGCUGGGUCAGGCUUGCGCCCAUUGCCCAAUAUUCCCCACUGCUGCCUCCCGUAGGAGUCUGGGCCGUAUCUCAGUCCCAAUGUGGCCGGUCAACCUCUCAGUCCGGCUACUGAUCGUCGCCUAGGUGGGCCGUUACCCCGCUACUAGCUAAUCAGACGCGAGGCCAUCUUCCAGCGAUAAGUCUUUGGUGUCUCGAUGAUGCCAUCGAAACACAUCAUGCGGUAUUAGCAGUCGUUUCCAACUGUUGUCCCCCUCUGGAAGGCAGGUUCCUCACGCGUUACUCACCAGUCCGCCACUAAGCAUUCCCUUCCAUUGUCCGAAAACUCUUUCAGGGGUGCUCCGUUCGACUUGCAUGUGUUAAGCACGCCGCCAGCGUUCGUCCUGUACGCCGACGGAUCGAAACUACUCUGUACG
RNAcentral lists this ribosomal RNA (513 nucleotides) under uncultured Oscillibacter sp. Its description in RNAcentral is "partial 16S ribosomal RNA". Lineage: Bacteria; Bacillati; Bacillota; Clostridia; Eubacteriales; Oscillospiraceae. The record is from RNAcentral.